RNAcentral lists this ribosomal RNA (454 nucleotides) under uncultured bacterium. RNAcentral describes it as "bacterial SSU rRNA". It matches the Rfam family "Bacterial small subunit ribosomal RNA", at positions 29 to 526 of the family's 1533-position model. The record is from RNAcentral.
AGCGAACGCUGGCGGCAGGCCUAACACAUGCAAGUCGAGCGGGCACCUUCGGGUGUCAGCGGCAGACGGGUGAGUAACACGUGGGAACGUGCCCUUUGGUUCGGAACAACUCCGGGAAACUGGAGCUAAUACCGGAUAAGCCCUUCGGGGGAAAGAUUUAUCGCCAAAGGAUCGGCCCGCGUCUGAUUAGCUAGUUGGUAGGGUAACGGCCUACCAAGGCGACGAUCAGUAGCUGGUCUGAGAGGAUGAUCAGCCACACUGGGACUGAGACACGGCCCAGACUCCUACGGGAGGCAGCAGUGGGGAAUAUUGGACAAUGGGCGAAAGCCUGAUCCAGCCAUGCCGCGUGAGUGAUGAAGGCCCUAGGGUUGUAAAGCUCUUUUAGCGGGGAAGAUAAUGACGGUACCCGCAGAAUAAGCCCCGGCUAACUUCGUGCCAGCCGCCGCCGUAACAC